GAGGUAGAUAAUGAACCUGUCCUAUAUAAAGACUGAGCUAAAUCUGCUGAGAGGCUGUGGAUAGUGUAUUUUAAUUAAGGUAAUCCUUAUUUGCAUCUAACAAGCAGCAUUGCUACUUAGAAAUUUAAGACCUUAGUGAUGCAUAUUAGUACAUUACCUCAACAAAUCUAAUAGAGAUUUAAUACUUAUGUUUUGAGGAGCUAUUUGUCAUAAAGUAAGAGUAUUUGCAUAGUAAAUUUCAAGGAUAUUAUUCUUUUCAGAGUUUUCUACAAUUAAGCAACACAUUAAACAUUAAAAUUUUAUAAUUUCUGUAGUGCUGGGAAUGCUUGCUUUGUUAUUAAACUGAACCUCAUUUUCAGCUGCACAUAACCCAAUGGAAAAGUCCUGUGUUAAUAAAGACAUAACGAAUGUACUGUCACUAAGGUUUUUUUCCUCUUAAAUCUGAGUGAUGGCCUAUGUAUUUAAAGAAUGUUUUAGCAUGCAAAAUGCAACUUGGAAGACAUCCAUUCAGUUGGAUGGAGAGUAUUUAAUCAUUUAAAAAGUAGGCCAAAGAGACUUAUCUCAACCAUACUGCUAAAUAGUUAUGAGCUGCAUCAUACAUAAAUUAAGUGUGCUCUAACUGGGGGUAUGGAUAGACUCUUUCUUUAGUCAAUUAAGUGUUUACAGUAUUAGUAUCUACUUUAGUUAGUUAGAGUAAAGGAAUUAAAGAGACCAUUUUAAUUAAGAAUGACAACUUUAUUCUCAAGGUCCUUUUUAUUUUGAUAGUUAACAGGAUAAUUUUAGCAUUUGCAUUUUAUUGAUCCAGAGAGAAUGAUUUUAUGAAAUAUAGCUUAGAAAUAAGGCUCAACAGCUGUGUUUACCUGUGGUCACGUAGAUUUGACUUGUGGUGAAGACCUCUGUCACUUAGACAUCUUUACCUGGGAGUAACUUAUGUAGGGUAUGAAGGGCAAGAUUCCUUUCCUACAAAGAAGGAAUUUAUACCUUGUUCGGCUUACCUUAGACUUCUGUGUGUUCUUUCUUCUCAUUAUCUUCUCCCAUAAACUAACAAAAUCCCUUUGCCUUUCCAACCAAGAGGAAAAGGUCUAGAAAGUGUUUGCCCCCAGUAUCUAGAGAGUUCAUUGGCUCCCCUUGCUUGUAGUAGUUUAAAAGAUUCCCCACAGCAGGGAGUGCAAACGUUUAAUAUUCAUUCAAUGAGAGUGAUGUUUCAAAGAACUAAUUCAGGUUAUAUGGGUGUGGGUGCUCUAUAUGUGGUCAUUUUUAAUUAAGCGUUGCAUCAGUUCUAAUAAGAAUGCUAAAAUAUUCAGAUACUUAGUUUUAUCAUAUGUUGGAGCCAGUAUAGAAGGUGUUAUUUCAAGCUGUGUUUACAAAUAAGAAAUGUUAUCAAUAUAUUUACUAUUCUUAUAUAUAAUUGGCUAAAAGUGUCUAAUAGUUGUAAUGUAUAAAAACUAGUUACAUCUAAGAGAUAUUAGUAAUAAAAUGUUAUUUGAAUUCUCUUAUCAUUAGAAGGGCAAGUUGAAGUUGUGGAAAUAACAGGCUUCUGAAGAGACUCACUCUGUUGUGGGUUCAAAUCUCAAUAUUGUGAUUCCUGGCUGGGUGAUCUUGGGCCUUAAUUUCUACAUUUGAGCAUUGGAAAUCACAUUGCAAGGAGAGAACAGACUUGUUUGUCAAGAACAAACACGCAGAGGUGAGAGAUCAGGAAACAGCGGGCCCAGGGAGCCAGGCUCUGCUUUGCUGAACACAGUUGGAAGGAGUGAGUCCAGCAGCCAGUCACCAUGAGGUGUCUCAGUGUCUGAGGAGAAUUUGUGUGAACUGUCAGCUGAAAGCAUCGACAGCUUCCCAUUAGUAAUGAAUUAUGGAAAUAAUUUUAUUAAUUUCUUCACCUCAAUCAGAACAUGUUAGUGAAAGUUGCUCAACCAAACAUCAAAGAACCAUUGCAUUUUAACCUUUUAGUCUUUUACCGUGUAACCAGGAACAGCGAAGAAAUAAAUUAGUGUAGCAUUCCUUUAAAAAAAAAAUGCCUGGAGAUAAGGAGUGGACAUAAUUUUUUCUGUUUUUAAUUUAAUAGCAGGUUUAUGGUUUUAUGCAAAGCCAUUCACAUUACAUUUGACCCUCUGGGAGCUGCUUUUUUUUUUUUUCUGUGGAUAUAAUUUUGAGUCUUUAAUAAUCUGUUGUUAAACCCAGUCUGAGUUUGAUUAAUGAAUUGUGAUGAACCGGUGCAUUAAUUUGCAGGUUUGGUCUAAUGCCCUAAAAGGCUGCUUUGUUGCUGGUUAUUAAUGCUCAACUCUUCAAGAGGAGCCAUGGGAUGGCAGUGUGUCCCAAGUAAUGAACAAGUUACACAUUUGAGCAGUCCCAAUGAUAGAGCUGUAGCUCUAGAAGUGACCAUGGAGCUACAUUAUUGAAAGAAAAAAAUCCUGAUUUAGCUUAAUGCCCUAGAACAGGGGGCCGCAGACCUCCAAAUCUACAGGUCUCUGGAUGGAAUUCAGGGGAAUCUGUGAAUUUCAAUAGGAAAAAAAUCUUUAAUUAAUCUCCAACUGAAAUUUAACAUUGUUCAAUUAUGAAUGUAGGUGACAACCAUAGUAUUCUUAGCUGUAUCUGUGACUUUGUCAUCUCUAGAAAUCACAAAUAUUUCCAGAACAUGUUAUAGAGAUGCAAGUACCUCACUAUGUCAUUUGGGCUUGUCACUACCUCAGAAUUAUAGUAAGUAUGAGGACAGCUGCCUGACUUGU
Molecule: long non-coding RNA, 2726 nt
Organism: Homo sapiens (human)
Lineage: Eukaryota; Metazoa; Chordata; Mammalia; Primates; Hominidae
Source: Ensembl